UACGUAGGCGGAAAAUUAAGUCAGUAGUGAAAUCCUGCAGCUUAACUGUAGUACUGUUAUUGAUACUGGUUUUCUUGAAUAUAGUUGAGGUAGGCGGAAUGUGUAAUGUAGCGGUGAAAUGCUUAGAUAUUACACAGAACACCGAUUGCGAAGGCAGCUUACUAAGCUAUUAUUGACGCUGAGGCACGAAAGCGUGGGGAGCGAACAGGAUUAGAUACCCUGGUAGUCC
RNAcentral lists this ribosomal RNA (229 nucleotides) under uncultured bacterium. Its description in RNAcentral is "partial 16S ribosomal RNA". It matches the Rfam family "Bacterial small subunit ribosomal RNA", at positions 568 to 796 of the family's 1533-position model. The record is from RNAcentral.